GACGAACGCUGGCGGCGUGCUUAACACAUGCAAGUCGAACGGAAAGGCCCUGCUUUUGUGGGGUGCUCGAGUGGCGAACGGGUGAGUAACACGUGAGUAACCUGCCCUUGACUUUGGGAUAACUUCAGGAAACUGGGGCUAAUACCGGAUCGGAGCUCCUGCUGCAUGGUGGGGGUUGGAAAGUUUCGGCGGUUGGGGAUGGACUCGCGGCUUAUCAGCUUGUUGGUGGGGUAGUGGCUUACCAAGGCUUUGACGGGUCGCCGGCCUGAGAGGGUGACCGGCCACAUUGGGACUGAGAGACGCCCCAGACGGGUACGGGGGGCAGCAGUGGGGAAUAUUGCACAAUGGGCGGAAGCCGGAUGCAGCAACGCCGCGGGCGGGAUGACGGCCUUCGGGUUGUAAACCGCUUUCGCCUGUGACGAAGCGUGAGUGACGGUAAUGGGUAAAGAAGCACCGGCUAACUACGUG
RNAcentral lists this ribosomal RNA (468 nucleotides) under uncultured bacterium. RNAcentral describes it as "partial 16S ribosomal RNA". It matches the Rfam family "Bacterial small subunit ribosomal RNA", at positions 28 to 507 of the family's 1533-position model. The record is from RNAcentral.